Molecule: RNA transcript, 1132 nt
Organism: Piliocolobus tephrosceles (Ugandan red Colobus)
Lineage: Eukaryota; Metazoa; Chordata; Mammalia; Primates; Cercopithecidae
Gene: LEP
Gene name: leptin
Exons: 2
Source: RefSeq, a predicted model, not a curated record
UUGAUGCUCUUGGGAAUCCAGCAGCUGUCACCAUUAAACAAGCCCAGGCUAGACCAGUUACCCUCAUCAUCUUAGCUAUCAGGCAUGAGUCAGGCCAUAGUGCUGGACCCACAGAAUUAUGAGCUAAAUAAGUAGUGUUGGGUUAAGUCACUAAGUUUUAGGCAUAGUGUGUUAUGUAGCUCACAAACAUAUAAGACUGUGUGUUUUUUGACUGGAGGAAGAGAUGCCAUAAAGACCACCUUUUGAAACUUCUCAAAUACUGCCAUUGAUGUGCUGAUGGAGGGCUGUACUAAUCCUCCCGCCUCAGACUCCCUAAGUGCUGAGAUGUUGCAGGAAGUCAGGGACCCCAAACAGAGGGACUGGCUGGAGCCGUGGCAGAGGAACAUGAAUCGUGAAGAUUUCUUUUUAAUAUGGACAUUUGUCAGUUCCCAAAUAAUACUUUUAUAAUUUUAUAUGCCUGUCUUUACUUUAAUCUCUUAAUCCUGUUAUCUUCAUAAGCUAAGGAUGUAUGUCACCUCAGGACCACUGUGAUAAUUGUGUUAACUGUACAAAUUGAUUGUAAAACAUGUGUGUUUGAACAAUAUGAACUCAGUACACCUUGAAAAAGAGCAGAAUAACAGCAAUUUUUAGGGAACAAGGGAAGACAACCAUAAAGUCUGACUGCCUGUGGGAUCAGGCAAAAAGAGCCAUAUUUUUCUUCUUGCAGAGAGCCUAUAAAUGGACGUGCAAGUAGGAGAGAUAUCACUAAAUUCUUUUCCUAGCAAGGAAUAUUAAUAUCAAUACCCUGGGAAAGGAAUGCAUUCCUGCGGGGAGGUCUAUAAACUGCCACUCUGGGAACGUCUGUCUUAUGCAGUUGAGAUAAGGACUGAGAUACACCCUGGUCUCCUGCAGUACCCUCAGGCUUAUUAGGGUGGGGAAAAACUCUGCCCUGGUAAAUUUGUGGUCAGACCAGUUCUCUGCUAUUGAACUUUGUUUUCUGUUGUUUAAGAUGUUUAUCAAGACAAUACAUGCACCGCUGAACACAGACCCUUAUCAGUAAUUCUCCUUUUUGCCCUUUGAAGUAUGUGACUACUCCCUGUUCUUAGACUCCCUCCCCUUUUGAAAUCCUUAAUAAAAAACUUGCUGGUUUGAG